RNAcentral lists this ribosomal RNA (454 nucleotides) under uncultured Barnesiella sp. RNAcentral's name for it is "partial 16S ribosomal RNA". It matches the Rfam family "Bacterial small subunit ribosomal RNA", at positions 341 to 792 of the family's 1533-position model. Lineage: Bacteria; Pseudomonadati; Bacteroidota; Bacteroidia; Bacteroidales; Barnesiellaceae. The record is from RNAcentral.
ACGGAAGGCAGCAGUGAGGAAUAUUGGUCAAUGGGCGUAAGCCUGAACCAGCCAAGUAGCGUGAGGGAUGACUGCCCUACGGGUUGUAAACCUCUUUUGUUUGGGAAUAAAGGAGCCUACGUGUAGGCUUUUGCAUGUACCUUUCGAAUAAGCAUCGGCUAAUUCCGUGCCAGCAGCCGCGGUAAUACGGAAGAUGCGAGCGUUAUCCGGAUUUAUUGGGUUUAAAGGGUGCGCAGGCGGCACGUUAAGUCAGCGGUGAAAUGUCGGGGCUCAACCCGGGCACUGCCGUUGAAACUGGCGAGCUUGAGUACGGAUGAAGUCGGCGGAAUGUGAUGUGUAGCGGUGAAAUGCUUAGAUAUGUCACAGAACACCGAUUGCGAAGGCAGCUGACUAAUCCGCAACUGACGCUCAGGCACGAAAGCGUGGGGAUCGAACAGGAUUAGAUACCCUGGUA